AUGGAAGGUGCAGCAGGUUUCAUGCCAGCUAACAUCAAUAGCACCUUAAUUUCGUAUAUUGAUUCUGACAGCGAUGGUUAUCAAACUCCUCCUGAAAGUCCAGGUUUAGUUCCUGAGGAGUAUGUUUUUGCACAUACUGACCUUGAUGCUACCGGUCAGCCUCCUACUGAGCCAUCAAGCACCAUCGAUGAUGAAAUAAGUACAGAAAAGAUCAACUUUGCUCUAAACGCUGGCUGCAGCAAAAUCCCUGCUAAAGGUUCAGAAGAGUCCACCAGUGCCGCUCCAAUCUUUCUAUCAUCCACCAGCACUGUAACUUCUAACAUCUCACUCAUGAAGGGACACCAUCUUAGCAGUGAUGCUGACAGGAGGCAUCACUCUGUCACUCAACCCCACCUACAGAAGCAUGAAUGCUACGUGUCUGAAAAGCCAGUAAACUCAGCUAAGAAAACUGAGGUUGCAUCAAAGGCGAACAGCAUGUCCACAACCUUCUCUACUUCAGGUUCUCUGCAUAGUCUUCUUUCCAGCUCAGCCCUGAGUCCUGCUGAAGAGCCCUCCAGUCAGAUCACGGAUACUACAGCUGUUCAGAUAGGCUCCUCCUCUAAAACCAAACUUGCAGACGUCCAGUCUGUUCACAAUAUCGACAUUGUCACUGCUCUUCCAGCCACAUCUGAUCACAGGAUCCCUACCACUGGAUGUUCUUCUCACAGCCAGCAGGAGAGCACAGAUCAUAACACCAGUCCUGGCUGGGUUUCACCAUCCUUGGGUGAAGUUUCUGGUGACUCAGUCCCAAAAGAUGAAUCUGGUUCUGCUUUGAAUCCUCAGCACAGUCCUGUUCCUCCAGAGAUUACAGAAUUUUCCAGCUUCUCUCUCGAUCAUCAUGACUUGGAGGGAGUUUCUGUAUCUGCAGAUACUUCCUUGACCAGCACUGAUGUCACUGACUCAGUCCAGCCCAUCCUUGCUACCGUUGAGCCAGUUUGUCUUGGCUCUGAACUCGUCCAGCUCCAGGAUGAGUCAGUCUCAUCUCCGCUAAGCAUCCACAUAUCUAACCUAGAAACUUGCACCUCUUUUGGUUCUUCAAACACCACAGGGAUUGCUCCUAAUGAUGACUUAAGGAUGAGGUACACACACAUGGACAGACUUGAACAUUCCAGGCAGGCACCUGACCUUGCAGAAGUAGCUCAAACAGAGCAAGUCAGCAAGGUUUCUCUCAACACUGAUUCCAUUUCUGCCACCACAGAUCACAUCAAUAUCUAUCCAGACAUCUCUUAUCACACUCGCACUUCUGUAACUCAACUCCAGAAAGACAGGAUAGAUGCCCAAAUAUAUUUGGCAGCAGAUGAAAGCCAUGAAGAACCACAGAUAUUCAUUCAAAAGCAUGAUGGUAAUGAACCUGUGACACUUGGAAAUGACUUUGAGUCAAUUAAUAGUCAUUUACACUUACAUAACAAGAGACGGGCACUAGAAAGUGGCUUUGAUAACUUGAUGAAGGUGGUUUCAGAUGGGUGUGAGGUUCAGCUGAGCUCAGCAGGGGAUGGGAUAGUGGAGGAACGUGCAAGCAACGAAGCAGCAGAGGUAAAAUGGGAAGCUGAGGAGAUGCUGGGAUCUUUUCACACAAGAAUAAACGAUCAGAGAACAGAAUCGCAUCAAUACGCAGAAGCUCAGGGCCAGUCAGGCAGAGAGAGAGAGGUAGCCGCAGGUGAAGUCGCCUGGCAACUUUCGGAUCUAGCUAUCAUGAAACCGGUCGUGCCAGUUCAGCGAGAGCGUGUGCCUGAGGAAUGCACAGUGGCCCAUCCCUGCGGUCUGCACGAGGAGGCGUCAAUCACAGACUGCAACCUGGAAACUCGCUCUCACCUGGGGGCAGGGUACAGCCCCUCCCUGACCACGCUGUCUGCCUGUGCGAUAACACUGCAGGAGGACGCUGCUCGGGGUGGGGCUAGUCUCCACACUGACAGAGAGGAUAGCAGUAUAAAAGAGCAGAGAGGGACCUACACACACCUGAAACCCAGCUCAGGUGAAGAGGACCCAUCUGAGACGCCACACGGUCGGGCUAGUCGGUACAGACCACACGUGUUUCCUGCACAUGAGACUAACGACAGCCAGGAUACAAACAAAUCUACGGUCACCAGCAGUGCGGCCAGAAGAUCAGAGGAUCCACAGCACCAACACAGAGCAGGUGAUCUCAGCCUCCAUCCAGGGGCUGCAGCCAACAGCACCGCAGAUACAUCCAGGACUUUCACUGAGAGAAGCACAACUACUGCAGGAGUCAUUGUUUACAUCAGGGGGUUUGGAGAGAAGGAAGAAUAUCACUCUACAAGAACCAGCGCCCUCACUGACCAGCUGCCUGCGCCGCGCCACACUUCAGCUGGACGGUGA
This is a long non-coding RNA of Pygocentrus nattereri (red-bellied piranha), 2373 nucleotides long. The record is from Ensembl. NCBI's taxonomy places the organism in Eukaryota, Metazoa, Chordata, Actinopteri, Characiformes, Serrasalmidae.